This is a long non-coding RNA of Polypterus senegalus (gray bichir), 343 nucleotides long. RefSeq lists it as uncharacterized. The transcript has 3 exons. The record is from RefSeq and is a predicted model, not a curated record. NCBI's taxonomy places the organism in Eukaryota, Metazoa, Chordata, Cladistia, Polypteriformes, Polypteridae.
AGAAAAAGGUCUUAACCCUGCUGUUUGACCUGCGCGAUCAGUACAAAAAAGCAGAACCUGCCUCUUCAGCCGUGCACAUUUUGAGGAUGGAGACUAUGGUGGAUUUUGAGGCAGAGGAGCAACGCCUCUGUGAUGCGCAAGCUUUUGAUACCCUGGCUCUUCAGUAAUGCCCUGAUGGCGAGGUUUAAUAUGAAGGGGAAGGGGAAAAGGGGCAAGAAACCUUUGGAGAACACAAAGGUUUAUAGAGCAAUACAAGAUGGAGUCAUGAAAUUUGACCCGGCAGCCACAGAGGGCUUUAUAAGGAUGUGUGCUUCAGAGCAUUUAAAGCAUGCACCACAAAGAU